CGGCGGACGGGUGAGUAACACGUGGAUAACCUACCUAUAAGACUGGGAUAACUUCGGGAAACCGGAGCUAAUACCGGAUAAUAUAUUGAACCGCAUGGUUCAAUAGUGAAAGACGGUUUUGCUGUCACUUAUAGAUGGAUCCGCGCCGCAUUAGCUAGUUGGUAAGGUAACGGCUUACCAAGGCAACGAUGCGUAGCCGACCUGAGAGGGUGAUCGGCCACACUGGAACUGAGACACGGUCCAGACUCCUACGGGAGGCACAGGC
Molecule: ribosomal RNA, 265 nt
Filed under: uncultured Staphylococcus sp.
Lineage: Bacteria; Bacillati; Bacillota; Bacilli; Caryophanales; Staphylococcaceae
Description: partial 16S ribosomal RNA
Rfam family: Bacterial small subunit ribosomal RNA
Source: RNAcentral